This 497-nucleotide ribosomal RNA is filed under the name uncultured bacterium. RNAcentral's name for it is "partial 16S ribosomal RNA". It matches the Rfam family "Bacterial small subunit ribosomal RNA", at positions 28 to 507 of the family's 1533-position model. The record is from RNAcentral.
GAUGAACGCUGGCGGCGUGCCUAAUACAUGCAAGUCGAGCGAACGGACGAGAAGCUUGCUUCUCUGAUGUUAGCGGCGGACGGGUGAGUAACACGUGGAUAACCUACCUAUAAGACUGGGAUAACUUCGGGAAACCGGAGCUAAUACCGGAUGAUAUUUUGAACCGCAUGGUUCAAAAGUGAAAGACGGUCUUGCUGUCACUUAUAGAUGGAUCCGCGCUGCAUUAGCUAGUUGGUAAGGUAACGGCUUACCAAGGCAACGAUGCAUAGCCGACCUGAGAGGGUGGUCGGCCACACUGGAACUGAGACACGGUCCAGACUCCUACGGGAGGCAGCAGUAGGGAAUCUUCCGCAAUGGGCAAAAGCCUGACGGAGCAACGCCGCGUGAGUGAUGAAGGUCUUCGGAUCGUAAAACUCUGUUAUUAGGGAAGAACAUAUGUGUAAGUAACUGCGCACAUCUUGACGGUACCUAAUCAGAAAGCCACGGCUAACUACGUG